AUUCCAGCUCCAAUAGCGUAUAUUAAAGUUGUUGCAGUUAAAAAGCUCGUAGUUGGAGUUCAGGGUGAGCUCAGCUGGUCGGCCUAAUGGGUCAGAACUGGUUGACUCUCCCUUGGUUGUGGAUCCCUCCGGAGUUAAUUCUUCGGGUGUGGAGUCCACAUCGUUUACCUUGAAAAAAUUAGAGUGUUCAAAGCAGGCGUUUGCUUGAAUAUAUUAGCAUGGAAUAAUGGAAUAGGACGCUGGUUCUAUUUUGUUGGUUUUGAGAACCAGAGUAAUGAUUAAUAGGGACAGUUGGGGGCAUUCAUAUUUCAUUGUCAGAGGUGAAAUUCUUGGAUUUAUGAAAGAUGAACUUCUGCGAAAGCAUUUGCCAAGGAUGUUUUCAUUA
This 385-nucleotide ribosomal RNA is filed under the name Telonemia sp. Its description in RNAcentral is "partial small subunit ribosomal RNA". It matches the Rfam family "Eukaryotic small subunit ribosomal RNA", at positions 582 to 975 of the family's 1831-position model. The record is from RNAcentral. Lineage: Eukaryota; Telonemia.